RNAcentral lists this transfer RNA (72 nucleotides) under bacterium. RNAcentral's name for it is "tRNA-Glu". It matches the Rfam family "tRNA". From Rfam's summary of the family: Transfer RNA (tRNA) molecules are approximately 80 nucleotides in length. RNAcentral also lists the same sequence under 2 other names. The record is from RNAcentral.
GCUCCUAUCUUCUAAUGGUUAGGAAACUAGAUUCUCAGUCUAGGAAUCGGGGUUCGAUUCCCCGUGGGAGUA